CCCUUAGAUGUUCUGGGCCGCACGCGUGCUACACUGAGUGGAUCAGCGGGUCAGGUUGCGCGAAAGCGUUUCCUAAUCUUUAAAUCCGCUCGUGAUGGGGAUUGACGGUUGCAAUUUUCUGUCAUGAACGAGGAAUACCUUGUAAGCGCGGGUCAUCAUCCCGCGCUGAAUACGUCCCUGCCCUUUGUCCACACCGCCCGUCGCUCCUACCGAUUGAGUGGUCCGGUGAGGCUUUGGGAUCUGAGCGGAAAGAGCGUUUCGCUGUUUCUGCUCGGAAAACUCAGUCGAACCUUAUCAUUUAGAGGAAGGAGAAGUCGUAACA
Molecule: ribosomal RNA, 322 nt
Filed under: uncultured eukaryote
Lineage: Eukaryota
Description: partial 18S ribosomal RNA
Rfam family: Eukaryotic small subunit ribosomal RNA
Source: RNAcentral